This 404-nucleotide ribosomal RNA is filed under the name uncultured bacterium. RNAcentral's name for it is "bacterial SSU rRNA". It matches the Rfam family "Bacterial small subunit ribosomal RNA", at positions 30 to 437 of the family's 1533-position model. The record is from RNAcentral.
AUUGAACGCUGGCGGCAUGCCUUACACAUGCAAGUCGAACGGCAGCACGGGAGCAAUCCUGGUGGCGAGUGGCGAACGGGUGAGUAAUAUAUCGGAACGUGCCCAGUCGUGGGGAUAACGUAGCGAAAGCUACGCUAAUACCGCAUACGAUCUAUGGAUGAAAGCGGGGGAUCGCAAGACCUCGCGCGAUUGGAGCGGCCGAUAUCAGAUUAGGUAGUUGGUGAGGUAAAGGCUCACCAAGCCGACGAUCUGUAGCUGGUCUGAGAGGACGACCAGCCACACUGGGACUGAGACACGGCCCAGACUCCUACGGGAGGCAGCAGUGGGGAAUUUUGGACAAUGGGCGCAAGCCUGAUCCAGCAAUGCCGCGUGCAGGAUGAAGGCCUUCGGUUGUAACUGCUUUG